AGGGAAGCGCACAGGUGGACUCGGGCUGGGGCUAGGAAGCCCUAGUAGGGGCUGGGGACGUGGCUCAGUGAUUAAGAGUGCACACGGCUCUUACAGAGAAACAGGAGGCAGACUUCCCUCCCUCCUCAAGGACUAGCACAAUAUCACAUGCCUGUUCCUAAGCCAAUCGCUGGCAAGGGAGCAAUAAGCAAAGGGCGUGUGGUGAAGGCAGGUGGCAGAGGCUGCCGUGGUGAUAUUUCACACAGCCCCGCCCGGCUGUUCAGCAUCCGAGAUAUUGAACAGCCCAGCUUCUAAGCCAAUGCACCAGAAACGAAUUGCUGGAGUGGAGCUGGAUCGUCGCUAUGGGAGAUGGUGGACAUAAAAUGUUCUGUGCAGAGAUGGCUUGGAGCAGGCCUUAGUGGAACCAUCAUCAAGUGUGGCAAUCCUUGAUGUAGGAACAACUCAAACUUCUGUAUAUUUAUUUCCAGUCCUUGUUAUCAGCAAACAUAAACUAUGAAUAUGCAGCUCAGUGAAUUAUUAGAAAUUAAAUACACCAGCCA
Molecule: long non-coding RNA, 539 nt
Organism: Mesocricetus auratus (golden hamster)
Lineage: Eukaryota; Metazoa; Chordata; Mammalia; Rodentia; Cricetidae
Exons: 4
Source: RefSeq, a predicted model, not a curated record